GGCGUCGACCGGCGCACGGGUGAGUAACGCGUAUCCAACCUGCCCACCACUUGGGGAUAACCUUGCGAAAGUAAGACUAAUACCCAAUGAUAUCCCACGAAGACAUCCGAAUGGGAUUAAAGAUUUAUCGGUGAUGGAUGGGGAUGCGUCCGAUUAGCUUGUUGGCGGGGUAACGGCCCACCAAGGCGACGAUCAGUAGGGGUUCUGAGAGGAAGGUCCCCCACAUUGGAACUGAGACACGGUCCAAACUCCUACGGGAGGCAGCAGUGAGGAAUAUUGGUCAAUGGGCGAGAGCCUGAACCAGCCAAGUAGCGUGCAGGAUGACGGCCCUAUGGGUUGUAAACUGCUUUUAUAGGGGAAUAAAGUGAGCCACGUGUGGUUUUUUGCAUGUACCCUAUGAAUAAGGACCGGCUAAUUCCGUGCCAGCAGCCGCGGUAAUACGGAAGGUCCGGGCGUUAUCCGGAUUUAUUGGGUUUAAAGGGAGCGUAGGCCGGAGAUUAAGCGUGUUGUGAAAUGUAGAUGCUCAACAUCUGAACUGCAGCGCGAACUGGUUUCCUUGAGUACGCAUAAAGUGGGCGGAAUUCGUGGUGUAGCGGUGAAAUGCUUAGAUAUCACGAAGAACUCCGAUU
RNAcentral lists this ribosomal RNA (629 nucleotides) under uncultured Bacteroidales bacterium. RNAcentral describes it as "bacterial SSU rRNA". It matches the Rfam family "Bacterial small subunit ribosomal RNA", at positions 87 to 714 of the family's 1533-position model. Lineage: Bacteria; Pseudomonadati; Bacteroidota; Bacteroidia; Bacteroidales. The record is from RNAcentral.